This 497-nucleotide ribosomal RNA is filed under the name uncultured bacterium. RNAcentral describes it as "partial 16S ribosomal RNA". It matches the Rfam family "Bacterial small subunit ribosomal RNA", at positions 28 to 507 of the family's 1533-position model. The record is from RNAcentral.
GAUGAACGCUGGCGGCGUGCCUAAUACAUGCAAGUCGAGCGAACGGACGAGAAGCUUGCUUCUCUGAUGUUAGCGGCGGACGGGUGAGUAACACGUGGAUAACCUACCUAUAAGACUGGGAUAACUUCGGGAAACCGGAGCUAAUACCGGAUAAUAUUUUGAACCGCAUGGUUCAAAAGUGAAAGACGGUCUUGCUGUCACUUAUAGAUGGAUCCGCGCUGCAUUAGCUAGUUGGUAAGGUAACGGCUUACCAAGGCAACGAUGCAUAGCCGACCUGAGAGGGUGAUCGGCCACACGGGAACUGAGACACGGUCCAGACUCCUACGGGAGGCAGCAGUAGGGAAUCUUCCGCAAUGGGGGAAAGCCUGACGGAGCAACGCGGCGUGAGGGAUGAAGGUCUUCGGAUCGUAAAACUCUGUUAUUAGGGAAGAACAGAUGUGUAAGUAACUGUGCACAUCUUGACGGUACCUAAUCAGAAAGCCACGGCUAACUACGUG